UGGGGAAUAUUGCACAAUGGAGGGAACUCUGAUGCAGCGACGCCGCGUGAGUGAUGAAGGAAUUCGUUUCGUAAAACUCUGUUCUAUGGGAAGAAAAGGACUGUACCAUAGGAGAAAGCUCCGGCUAAAUACGUGCCAGCAGCCGCGGUAAUACGUAUGGAGCGAGCGUUGUCCGGAAUUAUUGGGCGUAAAGGGUGCGCAGGCGGCUUUACAAGUUGGAUGUGAAAUAUUGUGGCUCAACCACAAACGUGCAUCCAAAACUGCAAAGCUUGGGUUAAGGAGAGGUAAGUGGACUUCCUGGUGUAGCGGUGGAAUGCGUAGAUAUCAGGAGGAAUACCGGUGGCGAAGGCGACUUACUGGACUUAAACUGACGCUCAGGCACGAAAGCGUGGGGAGCAAACAGG
Molecule: ribosomal RNA, 404 nt
Filed under: Fusobacteriota bacterium
Lineage: Bacteria; Fusobacteriati; Fusobacteriota
Description: Fusobacteria bacterium partial 16S ribosomal RNA
Rfam family: Bacterial small subunit ribosomal RNA
Source: RNAcentral